Molecule: long non-coding RNA, 744 nt
Filed under: Prunus dulcis (almond)
Lineage: Eukaryota; Viridiplantae; Streptophyta; Magnoliopsida; Rosales; Rosaceae
Description: sRNA ncRNA
Source: RNAcentral
GUAAGUCUAAAAUCCACAGACUGGGCCAUGUUAUUUUGGCCUUUAUGAAGCUCAGCCUCCGCCAGCCCAUGUGCGCCACUAGUACAAUUACAAUUUCCUCCAUGCCUUGCAAUUGCCAGCUGCUGAUAGAUAGAUACUUUGAUACCAUUAUUCCCUUUUUCCCUCCAAUAAAGAGAUCAAGAAAGAUACCUCAACUGUUAGUGCAGACCAGAAUGCAUAAUAUUAAGUUUAUUUGAGGAAUCCCUCAAUUGAAGCGCGCGCUCUCUAUAUAUAUACUAUGAUGCAGAGCUGUAAAAGAAAGACUAUAUAUUAUAUGACCAGGAGAAGUUGAAAGCAAUUUAAGCAGAGGAGGAGGAGGAGGAGGAUGGAGCAUUAUCUGAACUGGGCAGAAGCUUUAGCCUCAGCCUCGGGCUUCAUGCUGCUGUUGGGUCUCGUCUGUUGCUGCCUCAGUUCCAACCCCCGCCAACGUGGAAGCGGCGGAAACGGCAGCUGCAGCUGCGACGCUGGUUAUGCCGGUUGCUGAUCUUACAUACUCAGCUCAUAAUUCUCCUUUUUUUUUUCCUUUCUGCAUGGUUCACUAUACUCUUGUAAUUAGUUAAUUGAAACUUAUUUCUCUUCAGCUAUAGUUCUUCUUCCCAUGAUUUUUUUUUAAUGUCGAUUUGCUUGUUUUUGUUAGCCUUUUGUUUUCCUUCUCUUGUUGGGCCUUGUCAUCAUUCUGAGAGAGCCAUGAUCAUACGAUUGCCA